GUUUUUUUUUUUUUUUUUGCUUAGGAAAAAUGAAGCUUUGAAAAGAUGAAGGUUUUUAAAUGUAUGUAACUUUCUGUACUGCUUCUGGUCUUUUGGUUAUCGUUUUUGUUAAAUAUUUUACAGUGACCUGUGAUUCUGUUUUGAACCCUUUGACAUCUUUGACAGCCUUCUCUAGGAUCAAGUUCUAAAUUAGGUGUUUUUGACUUAAAAUUACCUUUGGAGUUUUCCACUCGGGCCUCUGGAAAGCCUCAGAGUAUGUGUAUGCCAUCUGGUAGAGAAGUUAGCUAAUUAGGCUUGUUUGAUGUAUUAAAUUGUAUGAAAAGCAUUGUCUAAUGAUGUAAUACUAGACACAGUUACAUUUACGAGUAUGUUAUUGAUAUGAGUGUUCCAAAAUUGUAUAAUGCCGUUAGAAAUCUAUCAUCAGUCAUAAUUCUGAUUAUGCUGUUUGCCACAAAAAUAACCAAAACUACUUGUCUAUUUUUGGUUAUGGUAAACUCUCAUCAGAUUUUUAAUCAUGGUUAUUCUAAGUUUUUGUCAUUCCCAGUUAUUGCUUUUUCUCUAAAAGUAUUUGCAAUCAGAUUCAUGAAAAAGAUGCUAGCACAUUUUAAAUACAGGUUACUAAUAACUUUAAUGCCAAUGGACUAAAUAUUUUUUCAGAACUUGAAUGGAUCCAUGUAACUACUAGUUAAGAUCAACCACAACAAAAAAGUUACAUGAGACUGAGUAACUGAAGAUGUUUGUAACUUUUAUGUGAAGCAUUAUUGGUUUUUUACUUAAAUGUUUUGUUUUUCAUAUUAAAGGAAAUUAUCUCAUGCUAUCUAUAGUUUACAGCAAUUUGGAAUACUUUUGUGAACAAAGGUGGAAAUAUUUGCUUUUCCUUUCUUCUUGAUUCCUCCAAUUUGGAAACUGAGUAUUCAUUUGUUUUUGUUUUUGAGACAGAGUCUUGCUCUGUUGUCCUGGCUGGAGGGCAAUGGCACGAUGUUGGCUCAAUGCAACUUCUGCCUCCAGGGUUCAAGCAAUUCUCCUGCCUCAGCCUCCCAAGUAGCUGGGACUACAGGCAUGCACCACCACGCCCAGCUAAUUUUUGUAUUUUUUAGUAGAUACGGUGGCUGGGCGGGGAGGUUUCACCAUGUUGGCCAGGCUGGUUUCAAACUCCUGACCUCAGGUGAUCCACCCAUCUUGGCCUCCCAAAGGGCUGGGAUUACAGGCAUGAGCCACUGUGCCCAGCCUAUUUGUGAGUAUUCUUAAGGCAAUAUGAUUUGCUUAAGUUAAAUAAAAAUCUGCUCUCAUUAUAACAGGAUACAACUGGAAACACUGGUUGUAUUACCAAGACUUUGACUGAAAUGUCAUAUUUGAUAAUCUGUAGAAUGCCUGGCUUCAAUGUUCUCAGCAUUACACUGAAUUAAAAACUGUCAUCUCCUGGCAGGCCCAGGAACCUUAAAACUAUAGGUAAAAUCUAAGUCUACCUUGAUUUAGCUUCCUAGCCUCAAGGAGGUUUUUAAAUCUGAGAUUACUGUGACCAUACUACUAUUCUUGCAGACAAAAUCUGAUAAAUUUUACAAAUCUGUUUUAUUCUGAGUAUCUUCGGUAAAAAUCUGGAUAACUUUAUGUUUCUGAAGGAAGCUAUAUGUACCUGUUAUUAGAUCGCAGCUCUGUACUCUGUUUUGAAACUCCUGUUAUCCACCUGCAGACCGGAUUUGCUCCUGAACUCUCCUAAUUUCCUUCAACAUUUGGCUAUAACUCUCUAAGAAAAAAAAAACAAACAAACAAUUCCCAUGCUCUGAGGCCUAUAAGCUAAGAUGUGAUGAAUUUUUAAAGGAGCAAGUCUCAUGGUGAUGUAUGGGUCACACAAAAGUUCACCACACCAACCAAUGCCACAGCUAGAGACAUUCAAACUGCAAACCAGGACAAAAAGUUGAUCAUUUCAGGCUGUAGACAUUUUCCCCAAGACAUCAGAGCAAGAAUCGUAUUAUAAUUUGAUUUAUUCAAUUGGUUGCCUUUAAGCCUAGAUUCAGGGCUCAAAACCAUUAUGCAAACUGGGAUUGUUACAUUACUAUUAAUUUUACUUUGUAUACUUCCUUUUUAAACUUUUUAUCUGUUAUUUGUCAAAUUUUUUUGCAGAAGUAGUACAAUUCCUAACAAAUAAUGCUAGAGCCCAGCACUCUGAGGGGACAACGAGGGACUAAGGAAAAAAAUUUAAAAACUUAAUAAUAGACUCCAGGUGGACUUAGCCUGAGUGCCACUCCCUUCAAGCCUCCCUGCACUCAAAGGUGGCUAAAAGGGUUUUAACACUGACUUUUAGUUGCCAAUCACUCCUGCCAAUGCAGGAUGCAGGACCAGACCAAUAAUCUGGGAAAGGUCUAUUCUGUCACCAAGGGACAACCAAAGCCUAACUACAAGAUGACUGAUCAUAGAUACUUUUGGAAAAAUAUAUUGAUCAAGAGAGGGAAAGGUGAAAGCUAUUAGAAUCAAGACGGAGUCAUGUUUCCAAAAGCCCUGACAAAUGGAGCCAGGGAAGUCCAUGAAGAGAGGGUUCUUACACACUACCUCAAAGACCCAGAAGAAACCACGCCAGCUUGCACGAACACUAUUCCCAACCUUACACAGAAAAUACUUUUGCGACACCUGCCUAGCUCAUUGUCCAACCCCGAACUGGCAGCAUCCUUGUUAUUAAUCCUUGUAGCCAAGAACUAUUAUUUCAAGAGAAUUAUAUAAUCUUUAUCUGUCCUUUAAAAACCUGUCUUACUUUACCUUCCCGAAUACACACAGUUUACUACAGCAUGCAUAUUGACUUCACAAUGCCCUAUUCCCAAAUUAACAUCAUUUUCUUUUAGAAAGCCUCUGUUACUUAGGUUGACAGUUAUUACACCUGAAGACUAAAUGCUAACUGAUCAAUAAAAUUCUUUGGUUCUACUGUAUACUUUUAUUUGGGGACAUCUGUUCCAAACACACUAAUUACAGUACACUCACUUUUUAAUAUAGACAGUAUACAUUUUUUAAAAUCACACAAAAAGUAUGUCUAAAAUUUUUAUAUUUAAUUUCAAACACCAAACUUAAAUAGACCAAUAACACAGAUCUUCCGUGGUCCACAAAUCAUGGUAAAAAACUUUGUUUUCAUAUGCCCAUUAUGGCUUGCUGACUGGCUUACUGCAUUUUAGAUUUUCCUUAUGAUUUUAGUAGCUUUCUCUAAUGGAAUGUGCUGAGUGAAGCUUCAAACAUUUUCCAUUGAACAUACACAGAUAUCCAAAUAAAGACUGGAAAAAAUAUACACCAAACAGUCAUUUUCUCUGGUUGUUGGAAUCUGGGUGAUUUUUUAAAGUCCCAUCCACUGUGCUGCCAGUAAAAGACCACAAAAUAUUUUUGUGUAUUUACAGGAACGUGAUAAUCAAAAGUUGUUGUGGGACCAUUCAAGAUGAGUGCAGGGAAGGGAAGCCCAUUUAAACAUAUAUUCAAGGAAAAAUAAAUUAAGUUACCUGAACAUUUGGGUAGAAAUACUGAGCACUGCUAUGGUCUGUCUCCCAAACUGUCCCUCAAAUGCAUCAUGAGAUUUUAUCUUCAUUGUGGUGGUGGUUGAGAGCUGGGGCCUAGUGGGAGAUGUUUGGUUCACGGAGGCAGAUACCUCAUGAAUGGCUUGGUGCUGCUCUUGCAAUGAGUUCUCACUCUCUCAAGACUAGAUUAGUCCCCAUGAGUGGGCUGUUAAAAAGAGACUUGUUUGGUUGUUGUUAAAAAGUGGGUCGUUUGCACUUCUGCUUCCCCUUUGCCCUUCUCCAUCAAGCUAUGAACCAGCAGCAAAGCCCUUGCCAGAAGCCAGGGUCAUGCCCUUGAACUUCCCAGCCUGUAGAACUGUGAGCUUUUUUCAUAAGUGAUCCUGCCUCAGAUAUCCUGUUAUAGUAACAUAAAACAGACUAAGGCACACAAAAGCUGAGGACUGAUGUCAACUCCACUUUUAAGGGCUACCAAACACAGCCACAUCACCAAAGAGAAGCUCACUUCCUGACCUCCUUAGAAGCUGAAACUUGACUCUCCGGGCAAGAUAACUGUUGUCUUUUAAAAAUGUCAGCAUCAAAGUUAAAACAUACCUUGAUCAGUCAACCAAAUUACUGCUAAACCAGUACUGGGAAGCUUCCUAAAGCACUCCAAGCUUCUAACAACAGCCAGCAUGAAGUAAAGCAGAUAGCAUCUUUGCAUUUAAGAAGUCAAAGAAAGGUUUUGGAAAUGGCAUUAAUGUAAAUGUUCACAUUAAGAGAAAAAGGUUUCCCUGAAUUGAAUGAUUCUUUCUACUUUCUAGUGCUGGACAGGAUAGGCUCAGACUUAGAGUGUUAACUUCCAGUCAUGUGAUAAUGGCCAGGAGCAACCACAAUGCUUAACCUUUAGAUAGAAAACACAUUCCUUUGCUUUUGUCUUCCUUAUGUAUGUUAGAUUAGGCUUCUAUUCAAUCCUCUAUGAGUUAAAACAUUUAGAACCAAAUAGGCCAUUCUAUUGAGACCCAGCUUGAGCACUCUUCAGCUUCUCCACAUUUUCCAUUAUUUGCUGGCAAACUAGUACAGUAACCUGUUAAAUACAAAGCAAGGGUGUGGUAGAUUGACUGCAUUUAAGGCUCCAAUUCUUCACCCCUCCUGUGUUCUCUCCCUUGGUCUAAUAACUCUGUAGUGCCUUCUCACACUGGGUUUAGCCAUGUGGCUUGUUUCUGGUGAAUGCUGGUUAGCAUGAAGCAUGCAGACGUGAAAGGGAAUUAUGGGAUUGGGUUUGGUUGUUACUGCCUUCUACAACCUCCACAAAAACAUGCUUGUUUAAUGGAGGAUAGGAGGCACAUGGAAAAAUGCCAAGUCUUUCCAGUUGAGGCCAAUUCCCUCACGAACGAGGAAAGACUACAACUGUUCCAGAGACACCUAACCAAAAUCACUUAUCUAAUUCAUAAACUCUUUAUUGCUGCACACCACUGGGUUUUUGUGGUUGCUACAAGUUACUUUUGUGGCAACAAUUGCUCCAGUAUGUUUUAUGUGACAUUUAUGAAUUUGACAUCUUACUUGCAAACUUUCUUAGAGAAAGAUUUGUUAAUUAGCAGAGUAACCUUCACCUGGUAUUCUGUAGACUGUGCAGAUUCAGUAAUCCGAUAUUGAGUACCCACUUUGAGCUGAAUGAUCUCUCAAGUGCUCUCACUUAAUUAUCAUAACUACCCUGAAAACUAACUUCAUUUUAGGAAACUGGAGGAAAUGAAGAACUUUAAGGCAGACUGAUGAAAAGAUUUAUCUAAAGUCACAUAAAUUGGCACAGUCAGGGUCCAAACCCCAGGCCUCUGAUUCUGAGUCAAAUUGCAUUUUCCAUUACAUCGGAAAUGACCAAGGAUUAAAAUUAGCAGAAUGUUAUUCUGUCCAGCCAUUAAAAUCCAAAAAACUUUUGUUCUAAGUAGGCAAUUGAGUUUUCAUUCCAUUAUCCAAGAUAACUGACUGUAUAGGACUGUUUGCUUCAAGCGUUCCAUCCUUAGUAUUCUUGUUAAAAAUGGCCUUUAAGAUAUUGCUAUUCCCAGUCAAGAAAUACCCAGACAACUAAAAAGACUCAAGUCAUGUAAAUCAUCCAUUUCCCAGUUUAAUCUUGAAGUGAAAUUUAUGUUCAAUAUCCCUCUCCAGCCAGUCACUAUGUAAAUUUUGAAUUAAGACAUUACUUUGUGGCAAUAUUGGUUAGAAAAAAAGCACAUCCGCCUUUACAAUGGUCACAUAACAAAUGCGGAAAGAGUGGCUAUAAAAAAAUAACGCACCCACCUUCAAUCAAACGCAAUCUUUUAAAGAAUACAAACAAGCCAGAUUCUCAGAUAUCUCUCCCUUUUGCAAUUUUGAUUCUGAAAAAAAUAUUUAAAGGAAUCAAUUAGGUAUUCUAAAAGAAGGCAGUUUUCUAGGAGUUUCUUUAAUUAUGGGGGUUAGGCGUAGAGAGAUAAAAAUGGGAAGCAGUGCAUAGGUAGUAUGAAGUAGACAUUUUGGCAAAUAAAAAUUGCACCGUAUGACAUGUCACAUAGAAAUUGUUAAAGACUUUGAAUCCUAAAAUUUAGUUUACUAAAUGUAGCUUUUUAUAUUUUAUAUAUUUUACCAACAAAUAAUUAUGUUAAAUUUAAGCAUCUGAAUCCUGAAACGAUAAAGAACAGGAAAAUAAUGACUAAGCUAAUAACUACACCUUCGGAGUAUAAAAUGUUGUCAGUGGUUUUCAUUUUAGAAUUAAAAAUUUGAAUUUCCCUUUGCCUACAAGUGUUAAGUAACUUGCAACAGCAAAUUCCCCCAUUAACAACUUCAAAGCAUAGCAAGAAUCCACAAUGGUUUACAGGCCACUAAUUCUUUCACAGAUGAAAGCAUUCAAAUAUCUCUAUAAAAUUCAAUUCCUUAGAAUAUGUGUUUGUGAUUGACGAUAUACAUUUUUAAAUGUGGUGAUAACACAUGCUAUUAUUCAUGAUUUAAAAGUUGAAACUUUGAUUUAACAUGAUUUAAAAGAAGUAACUUGUGGUUCUUGGGUAAAACACACACUAAUAUGUUUUUUUCAAUAUAAAAGAGCAACCUAGACAUUCCUAUAAAACAUUUUUAUUCCAGGUGGUAAGCUAGGCUUAAAUUUUCACUUUUCAGCCAAGUGCGAUGGUUCACGUCUGUCAUUCCAGCACUUUGGAAGGCCGAGGCAGGCAAAUCACCAGAGGUCAGGAGUUCAAGACCAGCCUGGCAAACAUGGUGAAACCCCGUCUCCACUAAACAUACAAAAAGUAGCCAGGCAUGGUGGUGUGCACCUGUAAUCCUGGCUACUCAGGAGACUAAGGCAGGAGAAUCACUUGAACCUGGGAGGAGGAGGCUGCAGUGAGCCAAGAUUGUGCCAUUACACCCCAGUCUGGGCAACAGAGCAAGACUCUCCGUCUCAAAAAAAAAAAAAAAAAAUCAUUUUUCCCACAGCAGCACAUUUUUAAACAGCAAACCAUUUAGAAGUGAGUCAUCGUUUGUAUUAAAACCUUAUUUACAUGGUACUUAUAUUUUAAGUAGUUUGAUCAGAUACUGCCACAAUAUAGUUUAGAGAUAAGGCCUCUCAUGAAGGAAAACUUUACAACAUUUAAAAUCAGAGCAAAUGAAUUUCUUAAGUUCAUGAUAUGUACUCUCAAUGGAGAAUCGCUGUUGGGCAGUGGUUAAGGCCUCUGAUUUACUACUUAUCAGAAAAAUCCACAUACACACAAAACUCUGCUAAAAUUCCAAUGGCUUCUCUAGAUGAAUAAUCUUUGGCUGUGAGCAAAAAAGUUAACUACGUUUCACUUAAUACACAUACACACACACACACACACACAUACAUACAGACACACACACUAGGGUGUAUAUGCAGCAACUUCCUCAUCCUCAUUCCACAUGUAGCCCAUUCUUGGCUGGGUUAUGGCUUGUAAUCUCAGAACCACUGCCCCCAAAAUGACUGCUCAGUAGCACAAUCUCACUGUAAACUAUGGAACCCAAACUAUACAGCUAUCCUUGGCUUUUAACUCCAAGCUAUCUAGGCCUUGUGAUUUUAUGUGGGCUUCACAGCAGAACCUACCCAGCUUGUGGUUAUCGAUUUUCUGCUCACCACGUAAGCAGUAGCUCAGUAAUACUGUCCAGUUUUCAUGCAUAUCCAGACACACAGGUGAGAGUUCUGUUCCAAGAUCUCAUUUUGACCUCCUUCAAAGGUCUUCUCCAGCUCUCCAAAUUGAAUGUAUUCUUCAACCCGGGGCUUAAACUG
Long non-coding RNA from Macaca fascicularis (crab-eating macaque), 7725 nucleotides. The record is from Ensembl. Lineage: Eukaryota; Metazoa; Chordata; Mammalia; Primates; Cercopithecidae.